CAGCUUGGGAUAACGACUUGAAAGGGUCGCUAAUACCGGAUACGGCGAGAGAGGCUUCGGCAUUUCUCGAGAAAGCCUCGCAAGGGGCACUGAAGGACGAGCCUGCGGCCCAUCAGCUAGUUGGUGAGGUAAGAGCUCACCAAGGCGAAGACGGGUAGCUGGUCUGAGAGGAUGAUCAGCCACACUGGAACUGAGACACGGUCCAGACUCCUACGGGAGGCAGCAGUGGGGAAUAUUGCGCAAUGGGCGAAAGCCUGACGCAGCCACGCCGCGUGAGCGAUGAAGGCCUUCGGGUCGUAAAGCUCUGUGGGGAGAGACGAAGAAAAACGGUGAAGAGCGGGCCUUGACGGUAUCUCCUUAGCAAGCUCUAGCGGACUCCGUGCCAGCAGCCGCGGUAAUA
RNAcentral lists this ribosomal RNA (400 nucleotides) under uncultured bacterium. RNAcentral describes it as "bacterial SSU rRNA". It matches the Rfam family "Bacterial small subunit ribosomal RNA", at positions 134 to 525 of the family's 1533-position model. The record is from RNAcentral.